AAAUUGUUUUGGCUGCCAUUAGAGAAUAAAAAUCAGACUUCGCCAAUUAAGUUCAAGAGAUUCAGAAACAACUUUCACCUACUAUAGAUAGCUUGUUCACUUAGGUUGUAGCUCAGGAAGGAAAGAUUCAGAAUACAAGACUUUCAGCUCCGACGUUGAACGCAGAUCAAACAUGUCUUCAGCAAGAGGAAGCAUGGAGCUUAAUGUGCGAAAUAAUCAAAGCAAGAGGAGCCAACAAAGAAUCCGGUAGGCAACAUCAACGCUUGUGUGCCUCCUUGCAUGUCACACAUUAACUGUAGUACAUACAUAGCAAGCAACCGAUCACCAGGAAGGAAGAAGAAAGCAGAAUGCAUCUACACUACAUCCAGUUUCAGCGCAUCCUCGCCGUGUCUGUUUUCUGCAAGGUUCAAAUGCAAAACAUGCAAGAGCAUGGAAAACCAUGGUUACUAAUUCGGAUUAAACUCAUGCAUUUUGGUUCUUAGACCUCGCUCUAAUAAUUAAAACAAUAACAUUUUGAAGAACGAAAUAUCCAAUAAACCGACUCACUGAGAAAUUAGCGCUUAAUGGUUUGUUGCUGUACAUUGGUGCAUCGGAGGGGAUCAGUUUGUAGUAAUGGGUAUCAUCAGUGUUUCCUCAUACCAAAUGAUUUCGACAAUUAAAUCUGAAGUGAUGGGUAUCAGUAUACAGGUUCUUGGCCUGAGUCAAGAUUGGUAUUUUUUUUAUUUAAGUGUACAAAAAGGAAAAGGAAUUAAAAGGAUACGUAUGCAUCAGCCCCAUCCAGGAUACAU
This 788-nucleotide long non-coding RNA is filed under the name Triticum aestivum (bread wheat). RNAcentral's name for it is "long non-coding RNA (TAES_LNC009573)". The record is from RNAcentral. Lineage: Eukaryota; Viridiplantae; Streptophyta; Magnoliopsida; Poales; Poaceae.